Molecule: long non-coding RNA, 1134 nt
Filed under: Neogobius melanostomus (round goby)
Lineage: Eukaryota; Metazoa; Chordata; Actinopteri; Gobiiformes; Gobiidae
Description: lncRNA (ENSNMLG00000015539.1)
Source: RNAcentral
GCACAUGAGGACUGGGGAGUAAGUGUUCAAAUGUCCAGUUCGUGCAAGCGUUUUACCUUGAUUAGCAGUUUAUACAAACGCUUUAAGUCGUGCACAGGAGAAAGAUGAUUCAAGAAAUUGCAUUCUACACCAACUACAACUAAUUCGCCUACAGUUUAUGAAAUGAUGAGGCAAGGCAAGGCAACUUUAUUUAUACCGUGCAUUUCAUACACAAGGUAACUCAAUGUGCCUAUGAGUGAGUGAAGUGUUCUUUAAACCACGACCAAAUUAAGAGAAUGAUGACAGAACAGUGGUGCCAAAUUGUGGCAUAUGGCCCAAAAAUAUUGUCUAUGAAACUAAUAUUAUUCUGUGGAAAGCAGUUGUCACUGGAAGGGUCGGGGGUAGGGCCGUAGGGGGACCCAUGUGAAAAGUUCUUGUCCCGGGUCAACUGGCCAUGGGUUAAAGAAAGUGUCUUUCUGCAUUUGGUUUGGACAUUCAUUUUGUACAGCAUAAACCACUGUAUUUUCUAUGCUUAGAAUUCUAAUGAUAUUGCCCAAAUAAAAGAAAGAGUCGAGUGUAUUAUUGUGUUAUAGAAACCUCUGAGCGCUAGAGGGCAGUGUGAGCGUGUAUGAGCAGAGAGAAGAAGACCAAAAGCAUAAACAAACAUGGCUGCCGUGCGGUGUUAGCUCCGAACAGAAUCGACCCUCAGAGCCUCAAAGUUUCUCUUUAAAGAGGCAGAGCCACUGAAACAUGGCCCAGGUGAAGCUGGAGGAGGAGCAAGGUGUCCAGAUUUUCCAAGACAACAGUUCAGUCCUUCAUUUCAAGAAAGAAGAACCAGAGGAAGUGGAAAUCAAAGCAGAGCCACAAGAGUUCCCACUGAUAACUGUGUGUGUGAAGAGUGAAGAGGAGGAGCCAGAGUCUUCUCUCCUUCAUCAAACAGUGAAAGAGGAGACCAGAGAGGACGCUGAUGGAGCAGGUUCAGACAAACAUCCAGAGAGUGAAGAUCAUGGAGAGAGUUCUUCUGACACUGACGACUCUGCAGACUGGACUCCUUCAGCUGAAAGGCCCACUCCACAAACUCACACUGAGGUCAACAAACAGCUGCAAGGACCAGCUCACAGGAUCAUGUUAGUAAAGAUGGAAGUGACACUGUAG